ACAGUUUUUCUCCAUUGGUUUGGCUCAUUUCUUGAAACAGAAAUUACAUUCUCAAAACAACAUGGACAAACCUCCAAACCACUUGGCAAUUGUUGACAACAGAAUUGUAUUUCUCAUUGAUUUCAUCACUUUGCAAAUGUCUUAGUACAUCUUUGCAAAUGAUUAAGUACAGGUAGCCUACAAUUAGCACAGUUAGCCUUCAUUAAGCACAAUUUCCAAGUGAAUAGAUCCUGUUGAUCUAAACUGAUUGAUUGAUUCUCAGUCUAAUGGUUGUUCUCUCCAAAACAUGUCAGCAUCAUUUCAUUCUAUGAGUCAUCACAUGCAAAAUAGUCUGUUCAAUUGUCAAAAUAAGUCAAGAACCUAAUACCAUGAAUAUCAUAUAUAAAUCUCUUGCAACAUUUGAUAAAUUGAUUAAUUGACAGUCAGGUGAAACUAGAACUUGACUAACGAAGGAGGAGUUUCACACAUCUCAGAUGACCAAUCAAACAAUAUGUUUAGUUACCCAACAGGUGCUGUCCAUGAUUGUGAAUGCUGCCAGACAUGUAUAUAUAGAGCUUGACCAGGACUAGUACAAUUUCUGAACAUAGAGGCACCUGGCCAAGUAAAUGAACAAGGGCAACUGCCUGGGCGAGGAAGAAGAGGAGGAGGUGUAAGGGUGCGUGGUGGUAGAAUAGGGGGAAGAGGUAAAGGAGCAAGAAGACAUCAUGCUGUUCCAGAUGAAAUUCGGGCCACACUUAUAGACCAUGUUAUCAACUAUCGGCUCACAAUGGCAGAGGCAGGUCGCAAAGUGAAGCCUAAUUGGCCCCGCUCUACAGUCUCCUCCAUCAUCCAAACCUUUCGCAGGUAUGUACUCAGUCAAUGAUGGAAUUAUAUGUUGAAUAGGACCACACACUGUGCAUAAAGCAAGAGAUGUAAUUUACUCAUUUACUCGUGUGUGUGUGUGUGUGUGUGUGUGUUAUAGGCCUACAGUAAUAUCUUACCUCAGUGGAAUGUUAUGACACUAAAAAUGAGAAAUAAACUAUUAAAUUAUUGAUGAUACAGUUCACAGUAGUAUAACAGUGCAGUGAUGCAUUACCAUUGUGGUAAAGUUACUUUAAGCAAAACAACAAUACAAUUAAAUUAGUAACUCAUUCUGCAAGACAUACAUAAGGCUUACAUUACAAAUGGUAAUACAGUGUUGUCCUUUGAAUUGUAUGUCUAGGAUUGGACGACAACCUUGCACGGGUGGCAGAGGAAAACUUCUCAAUGACCAACAAGAACAAAACAUCUGUAACAUGGUGAUGGCAAAUAAUGCCAUCACACUGAGACAGAUCCGCACUGCAAUCAUACAAGACAAUGCCGUAUUCCAAAAUGUCAACUCUAUAAGCAUCAUUGAACAAGCAUCAGAUGACCAUGAAGCAACUUUACAGGGUACCAUUUGAGAGGAACUCUGAUAGCGUGAAAGAGCUACAGUACCAGUAUGUACAUCGAAUAAUUGCAUUGGAAAGAAAUGAGACCCCUCACAUCCUUGUGUUUGUGGAUGAAGCUGGCUUCAACCUGGCCAAGGGCCGAAGACGUGGCCGUAAUAUUAUUGGCCACCGGGCCACGGUGGAUGUCCCAGGCCAGCGUGUGGGCAAUAUAACUGUGUGCUGCCAUUUCUGAGAAUGGUGUGGCCACUCACAUCCCCAGUCUUGGCUCAUACGAUACACAGAAGCUCCUCAUCUUCUUGGACCGCCUUCAUUCUGAUUUGAUCCCUGAAAAUGAGAGAGGUCUCGUAGGGCCUCACCUACCAAAACAUGUAAUUGUGUGGGACAAUUUCCAUUGUGGCCCGCUCAUCAGAGCCUGAUUCACUACUCAUCCAAGGAUGGUCAUGGUGUUCCCACCACCUUACUCUCCUUUCCUCAAUCCUAUUGAGGAGUUUUUUUCCGCUUGGAGGUGGAGAGUGUAUGAGCAUCAGGCUCAAAAUCAGAGGUCCUAGCUCCAUGCAAUGGACGCUGUGUGUAAUGAUAUUACAGGAGAUCAGUACGGGGGAUGGUUGCGACAUGCAAGCCGUUUCUUCCCUCGUUGCAUCGCAAGGGAGAAUAUACGCUGUGAUGUGGACGAGAAUCUGUGGCCAGACAGACGGCAGUGGAUGGCCAGGAGGGUGAGGAUGAUGGCCAGGAGAGGGAGGGUGAGGACAGCGACCAGUGAAGAAAUGUUAGUUUUGAAUCUCCGGCUUUAUUUACAGCACUGUAGGCUACAUAUAAUUUUCCUUGUUUUUUUGUGUGUAUGUGUUUAUAUUACAGUAUAUUGUGCUGUAUACAUUUUCUUUUAACUCUGAUGUAUGGAAGUUACUUAAUGUGUGUGAAUAAAAAUGGUUACAAUUUCCUUGACAGUAUGAGUGCAACGUGUGAAGUCAAACCAUGGAGGGUACUCUUACCGUAAAGAAACUUUUUUCAGUUUUAUACACAAUUGUAUUCUGUUAGCUAACAAAAAAAAAGUACAGUAACAAUUGGGAAUGAAGGACUGGACUAAAACUGAGAGGUGGACAUAAGGGAUAUUUCAAUGGUCCUCUGCCAUAGCGACAAAACAUCUAACCAUUUUGACUUGCAGUGCUCACAUAAUGCCAAAGGGACAAUGCAUUUUGGGGGCACUGACUGUUUAUAUGAGAAAGAAAUUUAGUUUUGAUACAUGAGUGAACUGUUUUGGGAGAGAUAUGAGCUUUUGGAGGUGAACCAUGGUGUUGUGCUGAACUGUAGGACUGUUCUGCCAAAUGAUCUUAGAGUUUCGAGAAUGUAAUUUCUGUUUGAAUUUCCCUGCUUUGCUACUCUUGUCUCGUCUGUCUGCUGUCUAUACUUUUGAGAGACUCUCUCUGCACUGCUCUCCAAACUACAAAAAACAUGGAUUUGAUUAACUGGUCUAUCAACGCUAUUGACACAAUUUUUUUUGAGAAGAAGCCUGGGUUCGGGGGAGCCGGACUGUCCUGCCGUAACGUUCGCAGCUGGCUACACGAUGGACGCAUGGGAGAGGUGGCGGGUCGUUUGUCUGGCGGCUCUUUCCAUGGCGGACAUUGAAGACAUCUAUCUAUUCGGAACCAUGAUCACAGGUCUUUUGCUGAUUGGAUUAGGCAAUACCCUGAUGUAUCGAGGAAUUCAAAAAAUGGUGACAGCUGUCCAAACCCCCAUAAAGCUGCUCGAAAUGAUUGGAGCGAUGGGCAGAGCUGUUGGCACUCAGACUGUGGCUAUUCAGAACUUGAACCACAACAUGGAUAACAUCUUGGAGAAGCUUUCGGCUUUGCAAAGGGAAAUGGAACGAUUCAGAAUCCAGAAUGGACAAAUAGUGUAGUCCUGCAAAAGAAUGCGUCUACUCGCACCGAGACCAAACAAUCCCAAUCUAAUCUGGUUUUGGCGCCCUCACACAGCACUGGCCUCGGCCAAGGCCGCUGCUGGAACAACAACUCCCCUGAAGAUCACUGCAGUGAGACUCUCUUGUAUUCCUCACCCCAACUCCCACGGACACCUGCUGAUAGUUGACUCUGUUUGGGACCCAAUCAAGGUUGUCUCUGAACUGAGGCACCAAGAUUGUAAUCCUAGGCGAAGCGGCUCUCCAGGCCUACACAGACACACACAUAUGGACAGAUAUGCAAUCACACCCCCUACCCCCACAUCCAAUGCCUUUGCGCUUUUACCCCCUGGUGUAACAAGCGGGUCCACGACCAGCACCCGGUGGACUGCAGGAACGGAUGGCUGCUUGGUUGGACUGGGUUUUACCUCUACCCCCUACCCCUCUCCCUGAUGCAAGUCCUGAGUUUUUCAUGUUUGUAAAGUGUACUUAUUAUGUGCUUAUGUUGCUGAGGUUUUUUCAUGUUCCCACACUGUACACCUCACAGGAGCAUAGUAUGGGGGUUGUUGUUUUUUCUCCUUCCCUCUCCUCACGUGACUCUGUAUUUCUAUUUUCCAUCUCUGUCUUCCUGUCCUGUCUACCCCCAUUUUGUCAAAGUGCAUGUAUGUUUUGUAUACGUAUGGACAGGUUGGUGGCUAAUUUCGCUGGUACUUGUACUAGUGACAAUAAAAGGAUCAUAUCAU
Mugil cephalus (flathead mullet) is the source of this 4043-nucleotide long non-coding RNA. RefSeq lists it as uncharacterized. The transcript is spliced from 2 exons. The record is from RefSeq and is a predicted model, not a curated record. NCBI's taxonomy places the organism in Eukaryota, Metazoa, Chordata, Actinopteri, Mugiliformes, Mugilidae.